Molecule: ribosomal RNA, 523 nt
Filed under: uncultured soil bacterium
Lineage: Bacteria
Description: bacterial SSU rRNA
Rfam family: Bacterial small subunit ribosomal RNA
Source: RNAcentral
AGAUUGAACGCUGGCGGCAUGCCUAACACAUGCAAGUCGAACGGGAGUAGCAAUACUCUAGUGGCGGACGGGUGAGGAAUACGUAGGAAUUUGCCCUUAAGUGGGGGAUAACCCGGGGAAACCCGGAUUAAUACCGCAUGACCUCGAAAGAGCAAAGUGGGGGAUCGCAAGACCUCACGCUUUUGGAGAAGCCUACGUCGGAUUAGCUAGUUGGUGAGGUAAUGGCUCACCAAGGCGACGAUCCGUAACUGGUCUGAGAGGAUGAUCAGUCACACCGGAACUGAGACACGGUCCGGACUCCUACGGGAGGCAGCAGUGGGGAAUAUUGGACAAUGGGCGCAAGCCUGAUCCAGCAAUGCCGCGUGUGUGAAGAAGGCCUUCGGUUGUAAAGCGACUUUAAGUUGGGAAGAAAAAACGUACGACUCUAACACCAAGUGAGUCUUGACGGUACCGACGAGAAUAAGCACCGGCUAACUCUAGUGUCCACGUACACGCCGACGGUAAUCGUAGACGGCGGCGUCGA